AUACCGCAUGAUUCUUCCAUUCUCUGGCAAGUUGCGACAACGGACGCCGCUCCGCUCCCCGUGGCGGACUCCACGUGGCACGCCCCGGUGAUAGCCAUGGGUCCACUCCACUACUCUCCACAACAAACUUCCCCUGACUCUGGGUGGCCCACCGCCAGACGGUUACAGGCAUCGCUAUCAGUUUGUUGCCCCCUCCGCCUAUAAAAGAGGGACCCC
This 216-nucleotide long non-coding RNA is filed under the name Elaeis guineensis (African oil palm). RNAcentral describes it as "long non-coding RNA (EGUI_LNC079280)". Lineage: Eukaryota; Viridiplantae; Streptophyta; Magnoliopsida; Arecales; Arecaceae. The record is from RNAcentral.